GGAAAAUAUACCACUAAUAUAUAUUAAUCCAAAGCCAAUUCUUAGAUACAUGGGGAGCAAGACCAUAAAAUAAACACACUAAAUAGCGCGCAAACAUAGUUCAUGUCCAGAAAUCAUGCAUCCUGCUACAGAGUCAAAAAGGCAAAGAUUCACAUCUAAACAACGACGAGGCAAGUAGGUUGCUAACCGAGCGUGCCUUGACACUGUUCUUUCUUGUUGAUCCUCUCAUUUUUUAAGAUGUGGGAAACAAGUAUAGAUAUCAGAUUUUGGGUGCUUUGCCUCAGCAUGUUCCCUGCAUUUGACCUCUGACGUGGUGCAGAUAAAGGUUUGCAUACAUACUUUGCACUGAAUAGACAUUGCUUUCUUGUUUGCUUCCAGCUGACUUCCCUUAGCAGCUUUUAGCUUCUCCAUGUUCUUCUCGCGAG
This 425-nucleotide unclassified non-coding RNA is filed under the name Hevea brasiliensis (rubber tree). The record is from RNAcentral. Lineage: Eukaryota; Viridiplantae; Streptophyta; Magnoliopsida; Malpighiales; Euphorbiaceae.